UUGAACGCUGGCGGAAUGCUUUACACCUGCACGUCGAACGGCAGCACGGGGGCAGCCCUGGUGGCGAGUGGCGAACGGGUGAGUAAUACAUCGGAACGUGCCCGGUCGUGGGGGAUAACGUAGCGAAAGUUACGCUAAUACCGCAUACGAUCUGAGGAUGAAAGCGGGGGACCUUCGGGCCUCGCGCGAUCGGAGCGGCCGAUGUCAGAUUAGGUAGUUGGUGGGGUAAAGGCCUACCAAGCCGACGAUCUGUAGCUGGUCUGAGAGGACGACCAGCCACACUGGGACUGAGACACGGCCCAGACUCCUACGGGAGGCAGCAGUGGGGAAUUUUGGACAAUGGGCGCAAGCCUGAUCCAGCCAUUCCGCGUGCAGGACGAAGGCCUUCGGGUUGUAAACUGCUUUUGUACGGAACGAAAAGGCUCUGGCUAAUACCUGGGGCUCAUGACGGUACCGUAAGAAUAAGCACCGGCUAACUACGUG
This 483-nucleotide ribosomal RNA is filed under the name uncultured bacterium. Its description in RNAcentral is "partial 16S ribosomal RNA". It matches the Rfam family "Bacterial small subunit ribosomal RNA", at positions 30 to 507 of the family's 1533-position model. The record is from RNAcentral.